CCUGCUUUUGUUGUGUAAACCAAGUUGUUUUGAUGCUAAUUUGUUGGCAUUUAAAUAAGAAAGCAGAGAGGUUUGUAUCAAAGCAAGGUCACCUCCGGCCUCGCUUGCAUUCAUAGACCAGGUAACUAAGCACACAACUGCAAAAUGGCUUAAUGCAUCGAUCUCUAAUUAAAUAUAUAAUGUGGCUUACGAUACUCUAGACCUUUCCGUCUCUAGCGUUCCUGCUCAUUCCUUCACUUCCAAUAAUACGUCAGACACCUCUAACACCCCUCCCCCUACUAAUAACUGUCUUACUAGAGAACUUUCAAGUUUGGCAUCUGCUACAGAAGUUCAGCAGUUCUCGUAAGCUUGGGGUUCUUUAAUUGUUAGCAGCUGUAAUUGUUUUAGGGCCAUGGACAUUGUUUCUGUUGUUUGCUCUAUUGUACUCUCAAAGGGUAUCAAGCCAUUCAUGUGAGACCUUACGAGAGCUGCUACCCAGCUCUAGCAUCGUGCAAUGUCCAUUUUCUGUAAAUAAGUUCUUUUCCUAUUUGAAGAAAUUCUUAAUGGUUCUUAGUUUUUUUCCUGGUAAUAGGACAUGAUGAUUCUAUGUUUGUGAAACAAACUCUUUUUGCAUUUCCAGACCAAUCGCGAUUUACAAUCCCGCAACUCAACUCUACUGCAACCGACGAGUUAUCACCAAGCCAUCACCAUCUGUAACCAGGUGCUGCGGAUUUGUCGACUCGGAUACGAUCCAGGAACACAGGUGUGCUGUGGGUCGAACCUUUACUCCAAGCCUUGCCCUAAUUUAGCGAUGAGCUGCUGUGGCAUGACUCCUUACUUUUAUACAUCGCAUCAGAUGUGUUGUUCUCGACAAGUGACGUACAAACCACCUGGUGUUAAGUUCCCUCGCUGCUGUGGAAAGGUGUCAUAUGAUCCCAGUAAACAGCUUUGCUGUGGUCAACGGCUGUACCCAAAAUCCUAUUCAUGCGGUGGAUUAACUGCUUACAAACUCUUAACUCAUGAAUGCUGCCGCGACCGCCGUGUUCGACCUAAGGGCUGUUGUAUCCUUAGCAACGUGAAGGGUUCCAAGCCUCCACCCGGCUGCCAGGCCGUGAUUCAGGCUCCUAAUGACAGGGAUCUCAAAGGGCCCGAGUAACAAAAGACACGAGUCUGCAGGAUGGCAUAUCCAACCAUUCUAUUAUACUACUGUCGUCAGUAGCCGAAAUCUUGAGCUUAAUAGCUCUAAAAUGCAGAAUAUUUUCUAGUGUGCAGUUGUUUAUUCUUGCUCCCUCUGAUAAUGGCAUUCCGACAGAUACACUAACCUGAAUUGAAAUGUCAGUCAUCUCCCGCCCUCUAUCAGUCUUAUCGCCCGGGGAUUAGGCUGAGGGAGGAAGACGACUGACAUUUCAGGCUACAGAUACACCAGUGCUUGCUGGGAUUCCUGUGGUCUACGUGAAAAAAGAGAAGGAAAUUAGAUUGAUUCGCAUUUUUGUCAAGUUUCCAACCACUUGCCGGAAGGAACUAUAGUCGGCAGCCAUAGUCAGUUACGUAGCUUUCUUGACUUCGUCGCUCUGUUAAAGCGGAUUCAGUUUUCCUGGUUGAAAGUUUACACGACAAAUGUACCAGGUAAAGAGUCCCCACUGGCUGUGCGGAAUCAGUGCACAAGCGUACAAAUUAUCACCAAGUUGGCAUCGAUGUGGCUUACAGCAGAUCAGAGCUUACUUUACUUGCUUUUGUUAAUGCCACGUAAGUUUGUCAAAGAUAACUUUGUCAAUAAAGACUAAUUUCCCUGCUCUAUAGUGGCUCAGUAGUUCUUCAGAUAUUCCUUGAAAGCUCACAGUUUUCAAAUACAAUUUUUUUUGUUUGUUGUUUAUUGAUCUUUGUUUGCUGCGUGACAUUAGAAACUAUGGCGGCCAUGUUGGUGUCUUGAGCUUUGCAAUCCUGUGGUAUUUGAAAAUCCUGAUUUCAGUUAUUGGUUCGUCAUUUGUUGCAGCUUUACUCAAUUUCGGUUACUCCAAAACUGAGAACAAAUAACCUGUUUUUUUUUCCUUUUUAAAAUAAAUCUAGCCCUUUUUUUAUCACGCCCCGCUCUCGCUCUUCAGGACUGUAAAACUAAAAGAAUCUCUGUUCGGGAAUAUUGGUCUCGCUCUUUAUUCUGAAGACAGGCCGCUGCAGCACUUUAAAAGUUGUACACCAAAACAAGACAUAAUAUCUUGCUUGGCACUAACGUAGCUUGUCCACAGUCCCUCAAUUUUGUCGUGCAGUCGUCGAGAUCAAGGAAGAAAAACACAGGCGUACGGGCACCUUCGGACUUGAGGGGGUAGUGACCUUCUAGCCCGAAAAUUUGACGUAGUGCCCGAAUGUCUGAGUGUUGAAAUCGGGAUGCAAGCGCACUCAAACUUCGUGAAAACCAAAACAUUCACAAUUCCCAUAUUGAAUGAAACUGCUUUAAUUCAAUGACCUCUAUCAACAGUCUCAAUCUAGUAACAUCUAAAACUUAUUAAAAGAAAGAGUUCUUCAAAAAAGUCACUAACUAGAAACUUUAUUUACGAGUUAUACUUAUAGUUAUCAAUGACGCCAUCAGCAUUAUUUUGUAACGUUUUCUCUUAAGAGUCGUGGCCCGAAUCAUAAGCGUUUUGGCCGAAAAAUCACACAAUUUCAAUAUCUCGGGGGGGG
Orbicella faveolata is the source of this 2655-nucleotide long non-coding RNA. The record is from RefSeq and is a predicted model, not a curated record. NCBI's taxonomy places the organism in Eukaryota, Metazoa, Cnidaria, Anthozoa, Scleractinia, Merulinidae.